RNAcentral lists this ribosomal RNA (274 nucleotides) under uncultured bacterium. RNAcentral's name for it is "partial 16S ribosomal RNA". It matches the Rfam family "Bacterial small subunit ribosomal RNA", at positions 523 to 796 of the family's 1533-position model. The record is from RNAcentral.
AUACGGAGGGGGCUAGCGUUGUUCGGAAUUACUGGGCGUAAAGGGCGUGUAGGCGGUUCGAUCAGUCAGGCGUGAAAGCCCUGGGCUCAACCCAGGAACUGCGUUUGAUACUGUCGAACUUGAGUUCGGGAGAGGGUAGUGGAAUUCCCAGUGUAGAGGUGAAAUUCGUAGAUAUUGGGAAGAACACCAGUGGCGAAGGCGGCUACCUGGACCGAUACUGACGCUGAGGCGCGAAAGCGUGGGGAGCAAACAGGAUUAGAAACCCGUGUAGUCC